UAACGGCGAGUGAAGCGGCAAAAGCUCAAAUUUGAAAUCUAGUCCAUUAUAUGGGCUCGAAUUGUAAUUUGCAGAGGAAACUUUGGUGCGAUCAUGGUCUAAGUUCCUUGGAACAGGACAUCACAGAGGGUGAGAAUCCCGUAUGUGGCUAUUGAUUCAAUCCAUGUAAAGUUCCUUCAACGAGUCGAGUUGUUUGGGAAUGCAGCUCUAAAUGGGAGGUAAAUUUCUUCUAAAGCUAAAUAUUGGCCAGAGACCGAUAGCGAACAAGUAGAGUGAUCGAAAGAUGAAAAGCACUUUGGAAAGAGAGUUAAACAGUAUGUGAAAUUGUUGAAAGGGAAGCGCUUGCAAUCAGACUUGUUUAUAGUUGUUUGACUUGGCUAUUUGUCUUGUUUACUCUUCUAUUAGCAGGCUAGCAUCAGUUUCAGUGGUGGGAAAAAGACUUGAUGAAUGUAGCCCCUUAUCUUCGGAUUUGGGGUGUUAUAGCUCAAGUGUCAUGCCAUCAAUUGGGACUGAGGACCGCGUCUUUGACAUGGAUGCUGGCGUAAUGGUUGUAAGCGGCCCGUCUUGAAACACGGACCAAGGAGUCUAACAUUUGUGCGAGUG
Molecule: ribosomal RNA, 603 nt
Filed under: Pyxidiophora arvernensis
Lineage: Eukaryota; Fungi; Ascomycota; Laboulbeniomycetes; Pyxidiophorales; Pyxidiophoraceae
Description: LSU rRNA
Rfam family: Eukaryotic large subunit ribosomal RNA
Source: RNAcentral